This 31-nucleotide non-coding RNA is filed under the name Rattus norvegicus (Norway rat). Lineage: Eukaryota; Metazoa; Chordata; Mammalia; Rodentia; Muridae. The record is from RNAcentral.
UGGAACUCAGUGCUCACUAGGUGGAGUGGAU